GGUCGGCGGCGGACGGGCGCCUCGCCAACCCGGUCAGGUCCGGAAGGAAGCAGCCGUAACGAGAUUUUCGCCCGGGUCGCUUAACGCCGGCCUUC
This 95-nucleotide signal recognition particle RNA is filed under the name Alphaproteobacteria bacterium. RNAcentral's name for it is "signal recognition particle sRNA small type". It matches the Rfam family "Bacterial small signal recognition particle RNA". From Rfam's summary of the family: The signal recognition particle (SRP) is a universally conserved ribonucleoprotein involved in the co-translational targeting of proteins to membranes. Archaeal SRP consists of a 7S RNA and homologues of the eukaryotic SRP19 and SRP54 proteins. RNAcentral also lists the same sequence under 1 other name. The record is from RNAcentral. Lineage: Bacteria; Pseudomonadati; Pseudomonadota; Alphaproteobacteria.